GAUGAACGCUGGCGGCGUGCUUAACACAUGCAAGUCGAGCGAGAAGUUUUGAAAAGUUUCUUCGGAUCAAAUUUAAAAUGGAAAGCGGAGGACGGGUGAGUAACGCGUAGGCAACCUGCCCCAUACAGAGGAAUAGCAUUUGGAAACGAAUAUUACUACCUUAUGAAACUUAACUAGUGCAUGCUAGGUAGGUCGAAGAUUUAUUGGCAUGGGAUGGGCCUGCGUCUGAUUAGCUAGUUGGUGAGGUGAUGGCUCACCAAGCCGACGAUCAGUAGCCGACGUGAGUGGGCGAACGGCCACGGUGGAAGUGACGCACCGUCCAAACACCUGCGGGAGGAGGCAGUGAUGAAUAAUGCACAACGGGAGAAAGACUGAGGAAGCAACGGCGCGUGAUCGAUGAAUGCCGGUGGGAAGCAAAGUUCGGUUCUAGCGGAGGAAAACUGACAGUAACGGAUAAGAAAGCCCCGGCUAACUCCGUG
RNAcentral lists this ribosomal RNA (479 nucleotides) under uncultured bacterium. RNAcentral's name for it is "partial 16S ribosomal RNA". It matches the Rfam family "Bacterial small subunit ribosomal RNA", at positions 28 to 507 of the family's 1533-position model. The record is from RNAcentral.